Molecule: transfer RNA, 71 nt
Filed under: Camelus bactrianus (Bactrian camel)
Lineage: Eukaryota; Metazoa; Chordata; Mammalia; Artiodactyla; Camelidae
Also listed under: 2 other names
Rfam family: tRNA
About the family: Transfer RNA (tRNA) molecules are approximately 80 nucleotides in length.
Source: Rfam by way of RNAcentral
GAGGGUAUAGCUCAGUGGUAGAGUGUAUGCUUAGCAUGCACAAGGUCCCGGGUUCAAUCCCCAGCACCUCA